Molecule: non-coding RNA, 117 nt
Organism: Hirsutella rhossiliensis
Lineage: Eukaryota; Fungi; Ascomycota; Sordariomycetes; Hypocreales; Ophiocordycipitaceae
Source: the annotation of a RefSeq genome assembly
GGUCCUGUGGCUUAGUUGGUAAAGCGUGAGACUAAUAAAUUAAGAAGAGCGGUCAGCCACUAGUGGCUUAAUAUGUUGGCAACCUCAAGAUCCUGGGUUCGAGCCCCAGCGGGACCA